This 253-nucleotide ribosomal RNA is filed under the name uncultured bacterium. RNAcentral describes it as "partial 16S ribosomal RNA". It matches the Rfam family "Bacterial small subunit ribosomal RNA", at positions 524 to 776 of the family's 1533-position model. The record is from RNAcentral.
UACAGAGGUCCCAAGCGUUGUUCGGAUUCAUUGGGCGUAAAGGGUGCGUAGGUGGCGCGCUAAGUCAGGUGUGAAAUUUCGGAGCUUAACUCCGAAACUGCAUUCGAUACUGCCGUGCUUGAGGACUGGAGAGGAGACUGGAAUUUACGGUGUAGCAGUGAAAUGCGUAGAUAUCGUAAGGAAGACCAGUGGCGAAGGCGGGUCUCUGGACAGUUCCUGACACUGAGACACGAAGGCCAGGGGAGCAAACGGG